Long non-coding RNA from Leptinotarsa decemlineata (Colorado potato beetle), 781 nucleotides. RefSeq lists it as uncharacterized. The record is from RefSeq and is a predicted model, not a curated record. Lineage: Eukaryota; Metazoa; Arthropoda; Insecta; Coleoptera; Chrysomelidae.
CUGACAGCUAUUUGACAUGAAAUCAGUUGACAUUUUCAUUUUUGAAAGUUUGCAUGGUAUCUGUUCGCAAUUAUUGCAAAAACUAUGGAAAGGAGCAGCGAUAGUGCGUUUGAAAAUGUGCCUUACGAAAAUUCAAAUGCAGCAGCUGCUGCAAAUAUAGCCUAAAAAACAAAUUCUAGAUAAGAAAACGUGUACUAACAAUUAUUGGGUUAGCCGGUGCGUGUGGACGGGAAGGACUUACAAAAAUGACAAUUGAUCUAAUAAACAACAAGGAAGACAUGUUGCUUGUGGAAAAAACAGAUUCCAAAACAAAUGUUGAGAGAACUAUUGUUGGAAUUGGGCAAAAAACCCAGCUGUUGUAUAGACAAUAUUUAUUUUUACGGUUAACCCAUACAUAACAAAUUAUUCGUGAAUUACAAAAAAAAACUGAAUCAGCCCUUUGAUCCACAGUUUCAGGAAUCGCGGAUUAAGAAUCGUAGAAUUUUUAAAUUCAUCCAAUCUUAAAAAUUACACAGGCUAUAUAGCAUUCGUCGAACUUCAACGACGUUAUUUGCUGAUAAAAGUGGAAACAUCACACAUUUGAAGAGACUCUGUGGCUGGUAGUUUACCAAUGUUGCUGAAGAAUUAAAUAUAGAUAAUUCACUUAAGAACAAAAUUAAAAUUGCCAAGAUCAUUAAAAAAUUGUCAGAUGGAAACAAUCAAUGUGAAACUAAAACUUUACCUUCUUGUUCUGACUUCAACAAAAGGCAUUUGAAACCAAUAAAUAUCAAUGGAAAAGGCC